RNAcentral lists this ribosomal RNA (468 nucleotides) under uncultured bacterium. RNAcentral's name for it is "partial 16S ribosomal RNA". It matches the Rfam family "Bacterial small subunit ribosomal RNA", at positions 28 to 507 of the family's 1533-position model. The record is from RNAcentral.
GACGAACGCUGGCGGCGUGCUUAACACAUGCAAGUCGAACGGAAAGGCCCUGCUUUUGUGGGGUUCUCGAUUGGCGAACGGUUGAGUAACACGUGAGUAACCUGCCCUUUACUUUGUGAUAACUUCAGGAAACUGGGGCUAAUACCGGAUAGGAGCUCCUGCUGCAUGGUGGGGGUUGGAAAGUUUCGGCGGUUGGGGAUGGACUCGCGGCUUAUCAGCUUGUUUGUGGGGUAGUGGCUUACCAAGGCUUUGACGGGUAGCCGGCCUGAGAGGGUUACCGGCCACAUUGGGACUGAGAUACGGCCCAGACUACUACGGGAGGCAGCAGUGGGGAAUAUUGCACAAUGGGAGGAAGACUGAUGCAGAAACGCAGGGUGCGGGAUGACGGCCUUCGGGUUGUAAAAAGAUUUAGAAUGUGACGAAGCGUGAGUGACGGUAAUGGGUAAAGAAGCAACGGCUAACUACGUG